GACGAACGCUGGCGGCGUGCUUAACACAUGCAAGUCGAGCGGUAAGGCCCUUCGGGUACGACGAGCGGCGAACGGGUGAGUAACACGUGGGUGACCUGCCUCUAGCUCUGGGAUAAGCCUGGGAAACCGGGUCUAAUACCGGAUAUGACUCCAUGACGCAUGUUGUGGGGUGGAAAGCCUUGUGUGGCUAGAGAUGGGCCCGCGGCCUAUCAGCUUGUUGGUGGGGUGAUGGCCUACCAAGGCGACGACGGUAGCCGGCCUGAGAGGGCGACCGGCCACACUGGGACUGAGACACGGCCCAGACUCCUACGGGAGGCAGCAGUGGGGAAUCUUGCGCAAUGGGCGAAAGCCUGACGCAGCGACGCCGCGUGAGGGAUGACGGCCU
This 385-nucleotide ribosomal RNA is filed under the name uncultured bacterium. RNAcentral's name for it is "bacterial SSU rRNA". It matches the Rfam family "Bacterial small subunit ribosomal RNA", at positions 28 to 417 of the family's 1533-position model. The record is from RNAcentral.